UUAUGCCACUAUGAUGCUCAAAUACAAAGAUUUGCUUCUCACUGUUUUUUUGCUCCAUCGUUCUGAGUCAUCAUAGCAAAAAAAGAAAACCUGAUCCUUCCCCUGAAGAGUUUUCUUCUACAUGGAACCCUUAACCUCAAAUUUAACCCAGAGGAGCCAAACAGCUACAGUCCCUCUGAGGGCUUUUAUACCCAGUGGGAUUUGCCACCUCUCCUUUCCCAGGCAUUGUGGGAAAAAGAGGCGGGCCCAAUUAGGGGUAUAUUAACCCCAGGCUGUGCUAAGGAGCAUUAUUUCCUCCUAGGGAAUUUGCUGGGGUAAAGAGCUUGUCUUUCAUUUCAGCAAAGAGGCUCUUUCAAUUUACUUUAGCCUGCUGUCAAUGCGGAUGGAUUAAACCCGUGGCAGAGCGCCCCAUCCCAGAUGAGAACCCUGAGAAGGAAGUAAAGCCAGAUAGCGGCAGUGAAGGUGAAGUGGGUGCAAGGUGGUGUACUUGCAAUAUAUCCCAGCCCAGGAUGCCAGAGGACAGGUGUUGCUGCUGCCCCAAGCAUGCCGAUGAGCAGGUCUCUGAUGCCUAUUUUCUGGGAAUCCACCAUUUGAUGUUGAGAAGCAGCAGACAGAAGAGAUGUCAGGGUAUUUUGUUCAGCAUGGUGUUUCAAAUAAGGGUUGUGGGCACUGUGUAAGUUAGAGUCUCCUGCUGGGGGUGAGAGCGUGUCUGUCUGUGAGAGUCAGUCUGUCUGUGUCUGCUUGUGUGUGACUGUGAGUGUGUGGGUUGACUGGUUCUAAUGGUGUGUGUAUGAUUUUUCCUUUUCAGCACUUCAAACUCAUUUUUAAGUUUAGAAUAAAAAAUCUCCAGCCAGGUUUUUUUUUUUCCCC
Molecule: long non-coding RNA, 870 nt
Filed under: Cyanistes caeruleus (blue tit)
Lineage: Eukaryota; Metazoa; Chordata; Aves; Passeriformes; Paridae
Description: lncRNA (ENSCCEG00000020383.1)
Source: RNAcentral